Molecule: ribosomal RNA, 492 nt
Filed under: uncultured bacterium
Lineage: Bacteria
Description: partial 16S ribosomal RNA
Rfam family: Bacterial small subunit ribosomal RNA
Source: RNAcentral
AGUGAACGUUGGCGGUAGGCCUAACACAUGCAAGUCGAACGGCAGCACAGUAAGAGCUUGCUCUUACGGGUGGCGAGUGACGGACGGGUGAGGAAUACAUCGGAAUCUACUUUUUCGUGGGGGAUAACGUAGGGAAACUUACGCUAAUACCGCAUACGACCUACGGGUGAAAGCAGGGGAUCUUCGGACCUUGCGCGAUUGAAUGAGCCGAUGUCGGAUUAGCUAGUUGGCGGGGUAAAGGCCCACCAAGGCGACGAUCCGUAGCUGGUCUGAGAGGAUGAUCAGCCACACUGGAACUGAGACACGGUCCAGACUCCUACGGGAGGCAGCAGUGGGGAAUAUUGGACAAUGGGCGCAAGCCUGAUCCAGCCAUACCGCGUGGGUGAAGAAGGCCUUCGGGUUGUAAAGCCCUUUUGUUGGGAAAGAAAAGCAGCAGGUUAAUACCCCGCUGUUCUGACGGUACCCAAAGAAUAAGCACCGGCUAACUUCGUG